This 370-nucleotide transfer-messenger RNA is filed under the name Bacteroidia. RNAcentral describes it as "JAGPCK01 sp018058135 Standard tmRNA". It matches the Rfam family "transfer-messenger RNA". From Rfam's summary of the family: Bacterial tmRNA, also known as 10Sa RNA or SsrA, is named for its dual tRNA and mRNA-like properties. The record is from RNAcentral. RNAcentral also lists the same sequence under 1 other name. Lineage: Bacteria; Pseudomonadati; Bacteroidota.
GGGGCUGACAGGCAUUGACGGGAAGUGCAAUGGACGGGUAAGCAUGCAGAGCAUUGGACGAGUGGCUCUUAAAUAUCAACGUUCCAACUUUCAACUGGCGAAUCUAAUUUCGCAAUGGCUGCCUAAUCAGGACGAUUACGCAAUAGUCAUCAUUCCGGUAGGCGUUUUAAUGUGCGUUUAUCAUCAGGAGUGUCGUAUCACAUUGGCCUUGGUGUAAGUGGUUGUGUGCACUAAGGUAUAAAGCAACCUAAGGAAAGGGAGUAGCCAUUACCGGGCUUGCCCGUUCUCUAAAAUUUAAACGGUGAUAAGCAUGUAGAAAGCACGGCUGUUCCUUGUUCGGACCGGAGUUCAAAUCUCCGCAGCUCCACUU